Non-coding RNA from Chlorocebus sabaeus (green monkey), 490 nucleotides. NCBI's taxonomy places the organism in Eukaryota, Metazoa, Chordata, Mammalia, Primates, Cercopithecidae. The record is from RefSeq and is a predicted model, not a curated record.
CAAUAGCAUCUGAUAAGAUCCAAACCUCUGCUCCUUUUCAUUAUUUAGGGAUGCAGAUAGAAAAUAGAAAAAUUAAGCCACAAAAAAUAGAAAUAAGAAAAGAUACAUUAAAAACAUUAAAUGACUUUCAAAAAUUGUUAGGCUAUAUUAAUUGGAUUCGGCCAACUCUAGGCAUUCCUACUUAUGCCAUGUCAAAUUUGUUCUCUAUCCUAAGAGGAGAUCCAAACUUAAAUAGUAAAAGAAUAUUAACCCCAGAGGCAACAAAAUAAAUUAAAUUAGUGGAAGAAAAAAUUCAGUCAGCGCAAAUAAGUAGAAUAGAUCCCUUAGCCCCACUCCAACUUUUAAUUUUUGCUACUGCACAUUCUCCAACAGGCAUCAUUAUUCAAAAUACUGAUCUUGUGGAGUGGUCAUUUCUUCCUCACAGUACAAUUAAGACUUUUACAUUGGGCCGGGCGCGGUGGCUCAAGCCUGUAAUCCCAGAACUUUGGGG